UAGUCCACGCCCUAAACGAUGUUGACUCGAUAUUUGGACUUUAGUUUGAGUGUCUAAGGGAAACCGAUAAGUCAACCACCUGGGGAGUACGUUCGCAAGAAUGAAACUCAAAGGAAUUGACGGGGGCCCGCACAAGCGGUGGAGCAUGUGGUUUAAUUCGAUGAUACGCGAGGAACCUUACCAGGGCUUAAAUGUAAGUUGCAUUAGUUAGAGAUAGCUAUUUCUUCGGACCACUUACAAGGUGCUGCAUGGUUGUCGUCAGCUCGUGCCGUGAGGUGUCAGGUUAAGUCCUAUAACGAGCGCAACCCCUGUUGUUAGUUGCCAGCGAGUCAUGUCGGGAACUCUAACAAGACUGCCGGUGCAAACCGUGAGGAAGGUGGGGAUGACGUCAAAUCAUCACGGCCCUUACGUCCUGGGCUACACACGUGCUACAAUGGUAGGUACAGAGAGCAGCCACUGGGUGACCAGGAGCGAAUCUAUAAAACCUAUCACAGUUCGGAUCGGAGUCUGC
This 511-nucleotide ribosomal RNA is filed under the name uncultured bacterium. RNAcentral's name for it is "bacterial SSU rRNA". It matches the Rfam family "Bacterial small subunit ribosomal RNA", at positions 791 to 1308 of the family's 1533-position model. The record is from RNAcentral.